UUUUUUUUGUUGUUUUUUUUUUGGAGACGGAGUGCAGUGGUGAAAUCUCGGCUCACUGCAACCUCCAUUUCCUGGGUUCAAGUGAUUCUCAUGCCUCAGCCUCCGGAGUAGCUGGGAUUACAGGUGCCCACGCCACACCUGGCUAAUUUUUGUAUUUUUGGUAGAGAUGGGGUUUCACCGUGUUGGCCAGGCUAGUCUCAAACUCCUGGUCUCAAGUGAUCCACCCACGUUGGCCUCCCAAAGUACUGGGAUUACAGGCGUGAGCUAUUGCACCUGGUCCCAUCACCACUCUUGAUGGCAAUGGUCUUUGGUUUGCAAGCCAGUUCUACCACCCGCCACCUUCGAGGCCUCGGGCAAAUCAUUUCAUCACUGGGAGCCCCAGUUCCCUCAGCUGGGACUUUGGGAACCAUACUUGUUGAAUGAAUGGAUGAAAUCAGGCAGGGUAUCUGGACUAAGUGAGAAACACCGCAGAUACCCCAACACGGGAGAUGUGUGACAUAGGAGCACUGGAGGCUCCUGGUUUUGGCACCUGGAUGGGGCCCUGUCUGGUCCAGCCUGCUCACAGGCGGGGAGAGGCCAGGGCCAACACGUGUGCUCAGCACAGGACUUCUCAGAGCCUUUGUGAAGCUCACAGUCCUGGGAACCUUCCAAGGGGUGGCAAUGAGCAUCGAGCAUGGACGUUAUUUGACCUUGUCCCCUCCCCGGGGAUUCCUGCUCCAUACAUCCCAAUGGCCACACCACCACUCCGUGCCCAGAGCACUGAUGGGGGCUGCUGCCUCCCUGCCCCCACCCACAGCUUGUUGAAUUUCUGCUGGGCACCUGGCCAUGGAAGGCCAGAUCCCCGGACUUGGGGUGCUGGCACCUACCCAGAGGUCUCCAGGGGGGCACCAGGGUCAUGCCAGCCUCCCUCCUUGGCAGGUGGGUGGGCAGGGCUGUGUCCUUACUUCCCUGGGCUCCUCUCAAACCCACCCCCAACCUGGGAGUUCUCUCUUGGCUGCCCAGCAGACUGUCUGCCUCCGUC
Molecule: long non-coding RNA, 1021 nt
Filed under: Macaca fascicularis (crab-eating macaque)
Lineage: Eukaryota; Metazoa; Chordata; Mammalia; Primates; Cercopithecidae
Description: lncRNA (ENSMFAG00000051442.1)
Source: RNAcentral